UCUUUCAUUGAUCAUUCUUCACACUCUUAAAGUGAGGUACAUAGCCCCUAUUUAUAAUACUAGUGACUAGUGAGGCCAUCCCUUUCACAAUUUGAGUUGAAUUUAUCUUCUAGUUCGAAUAGGAUUAAAUAUCCUAAAAUAAAUAUGAUUAAUAAAAAUAUUCUAAAAAUAUCUAAAAUUUUUGAGGAGGUAGAUCUUGACUUCUAUAUCAACUCUGUUUUCUGUCGCUCCGCCUGAUUAUUCUCGAAUAGAGAGCUACACCCAGUCAAAAUCUUACCUAAAAAGAAAUCUUUUGGUUUAACCAGUCCAUUUCGAGGCCUAAACGAUUGAGGUUACCCAAAGUUGUAGAUCUCAAAAAGAUUUUCAAUUUCAAAACAAAAGAUCAUCACAAUCAAGCAUCGUAUGACCAAAUUAUGGCAUCCUAAAGUUUAGCCUAUGACUCGAUUUUUCAAUAUGGCAAAUCUCGCUUCUGAACCCUGUCCAACCUUGCCCAUAAUGGUCAAAGUAUUUUGUAUUGAGUUUGGUGGUCCUAUUGAGUACUCAUAAUGGCCAAGUGUUCAACAUCAAGUCUGGUGAUCUCCUGAAUACUCGUAGUGGCCAAAAUAUUCCACAUCGAGUUUGGUAAUCCUCCUGAAUACUUGUAGUGGCCAAAUUGGUCCUUCUAAAUCUGUCAUAAAAUUAAUGUUCGGUUGGUAAUGUAAGACUGCAAUAGAACUUGUUGGAUAAUUUUGAUGUCUGGCCCUUUAGUGACAAUCAAGCAAAUUAAGGUAAGUUUUGGAAACAUACAAUAUAAGAGCUAAACUUAGUUGGUAUCCUUUUUGAAAGGAGUCUCAAAAGGCAUAAUUACGUGGUGGGCUGGAUGAUCAAAUGUCUAGGUAACCAACUGACUCAGGCCCUUCUAGAAAAUCAAGGAUGCAAGACAUAUUUUGAUUUAGUUACUCCAUGUAACGAAGUUAAGUAGCAUAAAUGGACUGCGCUCGAGCAAUGCAGUUCAUGCUCAAGCCUCAACUCAACUCAACUAAUCUUAAUUCUAAACUAGUUGGUAUUGGCUACAUAAAUUCCUUUCAUCCAUCCUGCUCGACCAGUUUGGGAGCGAAAGAUAUUGAGAUAUCAAGCCUUUUUCUUAGUAUUUUAUUCUAUAUGACUUCGGUCUUUCUCUAUCUAGAUAUCAAAUCACUUAUUCAUACUGGUUCAUACUUCGACUUAUGUUAUAUAAGAUUUUUUGCAUAUAUACCCUCAUAAAUAUAUAAAAUUGCAUAAAUACCCUCGUAAAAUUUCUAUUUGUAUGUAUAUCUUUCUUAUUUUUCGCAUAUGCACCCAUAUCAUUUAACGUCGUUAAAAAAAGUGGAUUAAAAUAAAAAUGACUAAAACACCCUUAUGGGAGAUAUGUAAAAAAAAAUAUAACGGUAUAUACGUAAAUAGCAACUUUAUGAGGGUAUGCAUGCAAUUUUUCAUAUUUAGAAGGAUAUACAUUCAAAAAAUCUAUUAAAAAGAAAUCAAAACUCGACUAAAAUUUGUCGUCUUUUAUGAUUCAAUUGGAUUGACAAGUCAAAAAAAGAUCGAGUCACAUUAUCAAAUUUCUUUUUUAAAAUCUUGACUCAGUCAAGUUGGAAUAUUAU
RNAcentral lists this long non-coding RNA (1619 nucleotides) under Phoenix dactylifera (date palm). RNAcentral's name for it is "long non-coding RNA (PDAC_LNC002690)". Lineage: Eukaryota; Viridiplantae; Streptophyta; Magnoliopsida; Arecales; Arecaceae. The record is from RNAcentral.